GGGCCGCUAACUCAAUUGGUCAGAGUGCCAUGUUCACAGCGUGGAAGUUACUGGUUCGAGUCCAGUGCGGCCCACCA
RNAcentral lists this transfer RNA (77 nucleotides) under Planctomycetota bacterium. RNAcentral's name for it is "Planctomycetes bacterium (freshwater metagenome) tRNA-Val". It matches the Rfam family "tRNA". Rfam says of the family: Transfer RNA (tRNA) molecules are approximately 80 nucleotides in length. Their secondary structure includes four short double-helical elements and three loops (D, anti-codon, and T loops). Further hydrogen bonds mediate the characteristic L-shaped molecular structure. tRNAs have two regions of fundamental functional importance: the anti-codon, which is responsible for specific mRNA codon recognition, and the 3' end, to which the tRNAs corresponding amino acid is attached (by aminoacyl-tRNA synthetases). tRNAs cope with the degeneracy of the genetic code in two manners: having more than one tRNA (with a specific anti-codon) for a particular amino acid; and 'wobble' base-pairing, i.e. permitting non-standard base-pairing at the 3rd anti-codon position. Lineage: Bacteria; Pseudomonadati; Planctomycetota. The record is from RNAcentral.